AACGAACGCUGGCGGCAUGCCUAACACAUGCAAGUCGAACGAGACCUUCGGGUCUAGUGGCGCACGGGUGCGUAACGCGUGGGAACCUGCCCUUAGGUUCGGAAUAACUCCCCGAAAGGGGUGCUAAUACCGGAUAAUGUCUUCGGACCAAAGAUUUAUCGCCUUUGGAUGGGCCCGCGUUGGAUUAGCUAGUUGGUAGGGUAAAAGCCUACCAAGGCGACGAUCCAUAGCUGGUCUGAGAGGAUGAUCAGCCACACUGGGACUGAGACACGGCCCAGACUCCUACGGGAGGCAGCAGUGGGGAAUAUUGGACAAUGGGCGAAAGCCUGAUCCAUCAAUGCCGCGUGAGUGAUGAAGGCCUUAGGGUUGGAAAGCGCUUUUACCCGGGAUGAUAAUGACAGUACCGGGAGAAUAAGCUCCGGCUAACUCCGUG
Molecule: ribosomal RNA, 433 nt
Filed under: uncultured bacterium
Lineage: Bacteria
Description: partial 16S ribosomal RNA
Rfam family: Bacterial small subunit ribosomal RNA
Source: RNAcentral